RNAcentral lists this ribosomal RNA (253 nucleotides) under uncultured bacterium. RNAcentral's name for it is "partial 16S ribosomal RNA". It matches the Rfam family "Bacterial small subunit ribosomal RNA", at positions 524 to 776 of the family's 1533-position model. The record is from RNAcentral.
GACGAGGGGUCCAAGCGUUGUUCGGAAUCAUUGGGCGUAAAGCGGAUGUAGGUGGCUCUAUAAGUCAGGAGUGAAAGCCCUAAGCUUAACUUAGGAAGUGCUUUUGAUACUGCAGGGCUUGAAUGUGGGAGAGGAUCGUAGAAUUCCUGGUGUAGUGGUGAAAUACGUAGAUAUCAGGAGGAAUACCGGAGGCGAAGGCGGCGAUCUGGCCCAACAUUGACACUGAGAUCCGAAAGCGUGGGGAUCAAACAGG